RNAcentral lists this unclassified non-coding RNA (339 nucleotides) under soil metagenome. Its description in RNAcentral is "partial contains 5.8S ribosomal RNA, internal transcribed spacer 2, and large subunit ribosomal RNA". The stretch from base 1 to 120 matches the Rfam family "5.8S ribosomal RNA", at positions 35 to 154 of the family's 154-position model. The record is from RNAcentral.
GAUGAAGAACUUAGCGAAAUGCGAUAACUAAUGUGAAUUGCAGAAUUCAGUGAAUCAUCGAGUCUUUGAACGCACAUUGCGCCCCCUGGUAUUCCGGGGGGCAUGCCUGUCCGAGCGUCAUUGCUGCCCUCAAGCACGGCUUGUGUGUUGGGCUCCGUCCCCCCGGGGACGGGCCCGAAAGGCAGCGGCGGCACCGAGUCCGGUCCUCGAGCGUAUGGGGCUUUGUCACCCGCUCUGUAGGCCCGGCCGGCGCCAGCCGACAACCCAUCAUCCUUUUCAGGUUGACCUCGGAUCAGGUAGGGAUACCCGCUGAACUUAAGCAUAUCAAUAAGCGGAGGA